CGGGGUGUAGCUCAGCCCGGCUAGAGCGCUUGGUUUGGGACCAAGAAGUCGGAGGUUCGAAUCCUCUCACCCCGA
Molecule: transfer RNA, 75 nt
Filed under: Ignavibacteriota bacterium
Lineage: Bacteria; Pseudomonadati; Ignavibacteriota
Description: Ignavibacteriae bacterium tRNA-Pro
Rfam family: tRNA
About the family: Transfer RNA (tRNA) molecules are approximately 80 nucleotides in length. Their secondary structure includes four short double-helical elements and three loops (D, anti-codon, and T loops). Further hydrogen bonds mediate the characteristic L-shaped molecular structure. tRNAs have two regions of fundamental functional importance: the anti-codon, which is responsible for specific mRNA codon recognition, and the 3' end, to which the tRNAs corresponding amino acid is attached (by aminoacyl-tRNA synthetases). tRNAs cope with the degeneracy of the genetic code in two manners: having more than one tRNA (with a specific anti-codon) for a particular amino acid; and 'wobble' base-pairing, i.e. permitting non-standard base-pairing at the 3rd anti-codon position.
Source: RNAcentral